Molecule: ribosomal RNA, 301 nt
Filed under: uncultured bacterium
Lineage: Bacteria
Description: partial 16S ribosomal RNA
Rfam family: Bacterial small subunit ribosomal RNA
Source: RNAcentral
CAGUCGCCACGGUAAUACAGAGGGUGCAAGCGUUAAUCGGAAUUACUGGGCGUAAAGCGCGCGUAGGUGGUUUGUUAAGUUGGAUGUGAAAUCCCCGGGCUCAACCUGGGAACUGCAUCCAAAACUGGCAAGCUAGAGUAUGGUAGAGGGUGGUGGAAUUUCCUGUGUAGCGGUGAAAUGCGUAGAUAUAGGAAGGAACACCAGUGGCGAAGGCGACCACCUGGACUGAUACUGACACUGAGGUGCGAAAGCGUGGGGAGCAAACAGGAUUAGAUACCCCAGUAGUCCCUGUCUCUUAUAA